This 402-nucleotide ribosomal RNA is filed under the name uncultured prokaryote. RNAcentral's name for it is "bacterial SSU rRNA". It matches the Rfam family "Bacterial small subunit ribosomal RNA", at positions 355 to 774 of the family's 1533-position model. The record is from RNAcentral.
UAGGGAAUAUUGGUAAUGGGCGAAAGCCUGAACCAGCAACGCCGCGUGUGCGAUGAAGGCCUUCGGGUCGUAAAGCACUUUUUGGAGGGAUGAGGAAGGACAGUACCUCCAGAAUAAGCCUCGGCUAACUACGUGCCAGCAGCCGCGGUAACACGUAGGAGGCAAGCGUUAUUCGGAUUUACUGGGCGUAAAGCGCGUGCAGGCGGUUCGGAAAGUUGGAUGUGAAAGCUCCUGGCUUAACUGGGAGAGGUCGUUCAAUACUUCCGGACUUGAGAGUGGGAGAGGGAGGUGAAAUUCCGGGUGUAGUGGUGAAAUGCGUAGAUAUCCGGAGGAACACCAGAGGCGAAAGCGGCCUUCUAGGCCACGGCUGACGCUCAGACGCGAAAGCUAGGGGAGCAGACG